Molecule: ribosomal RNA, 909 nt
Filed under: uncultured bacterium
Lineage: Bacteria
Description: bacterial SSU rRNA
Rfam family: Bacterial small subunit ribosomal RNA
Source: RNAcentral
AGAGUUUGAUCCUGGCUCAGGAUGAACGCUGGCGGCGUGCCUAAUACAUGCAAGUCGAACGAAUCUCUUUUAGAGAUGAGUGGCGAACGGGUGAGUAAUACAUAGGUAACCUGCCCCUGUGCGGGGGAUAACAGGAGGAAACUCCUGCUAAUACCGCAUAGCCAUGAGCACCGCAUGGAGCUCAUGCCAAAUAUCCUUUAUGGGAUAGCGCAGGGAUGGACCUAUGGCGCAUUAGCUGGUUGGCGGGGCAACGGCCCGCCAAGGCAACGAUGCGUAGCCGGCCUGAGAGGGCGGACGGCCACAUUGGGACUGAGACACGGCCCAGACUCCUACGGGAGGCAGCAGUAGGGAAUUUUCGGCAAUGGGGGAAACCCUGACCGAGCAACGCCGCGUGAGCGAAGAAGGCCUUCGGGUCGUAAAGCUCUGUUGUAAAGGAAGAACGGCGCAUACAGGAAAUGGUAUGCGAGUGACGGUACUUUACCAGAAAGCCACGGCUAACUACGUGCCAGCAGCCGCGGUAAUACGUAGGUGGCGAGCGUUAUCCGGAAUCAUUGGGCGUAAAGAGGGAGCAGGCGGCCGCAAGGGUCUGUGGUGAAAGACCGAAGCUAAACUUCGGUAAGCCAUGGAAACCGGGCGGCUAGAGUGCGGAAGAGGAUCGUGGAAUUCCAUGUGUAGCGGUGAAAUGCGUAGAUAUAUGGAGGAACACCAGUGGCGAAGGCGACGGUCUGGGCCGCAACUGACGCUCAUUCCCGAAAGCGUGGGGAGCAAAUAGGAUUAGAUACCCUAGUAGUCCACGCCGUAAACGAUGGUCACUAAGUGUCGGGGGUCAAACCCCGGUGCUGCAGUCAACGCAAUAAGUGACCCGCCUGAGUAGUACGUUCGCAAGAAUGAAACUCAAAGGAAUUGACG